Molecule: long non-coding RNA, 466 nt
Filed under: Ananas comosus (pineapple)
Lineage: Eukaryota; Viridiplantae; Streptophyta; Magnoliopsida; Poales; Bromeliaceae
Description: long non-coding RNA (ACOM_LNC033787)
Source: RNAcentral
UAAUAAUUUAUAAUAGAUUUUCAGAUCUUGUGAUACUUUUUAUAUAGAACCUUAUGGUAGUGUAGAUAACACCCUGGUUGGGGGUUAAGGGAUGGAAUAAUUCCUUAACCCCCAUAUUAUUUUUAAACACUCUCAAAAAUAGGUGGGGUUAGCUAACCCUAUCUCAAAUGGGCUAUUUCGGGUUAGCUAAUCCCACCAAACCUUACCAAACGCCAACCAAACGCUAUUUUCUAUUCAUAAUAACCUACUAUUUUUCUUAUGCCACCUACUCCAAUCAAACACUAUUUUUUACUAUUCUGGACUAACUCCAACCACCAACCAAACACAAAAAUACUCUAAUCCCACCUUAACCCUGAACUUAAUCCUAUUUCUGGAAUAACUAGUUUUUCUUAACCCCGAAUCAAACGGUAAUGAGAUUACAGAUACACAUAGUGCAAGCAAUAAUUUAUCCAUUCACAAAGCUCCA